Long non-coding RNA from Drosophila navojoa, 1195 nucleotides. Lineage: Eukaryota; Metazoa; Arthropoda; Insecta; Diptera; Drosophilidae. The record is from RefSeq and is a predicted model, not a curated record.
AUUAAAUAAAUUUACAGUUGAGGAACUAUUCAUAAAUAGUGUCAGUAUAUAUUUUCAUAACCUCUACUUGUUCUGUAUUGCCCGCGCCCCGUUUGCUUGAGCGAAAUUCUUAGAAUUCUUAACAUUCCCGCGCGCAUACACACACAUAUGCUUAUACAUACAGACGAGUAGCUAAAAAGUAAAAGAAGAAAAAAAAGAAACACAUUUGUAUAUAUAAAAGUUGUACUCUCCCUACGCGUCGAAGUGUAGACAUAAACACACAUACAAGCGCAUGCACUUGAACUCUCACGCACGCACACCAACCAAUACACACUAACACAGACAUUUAUACUCUAUUCAACACACCUCGAAAUUGGUUGUUGUCGCCACUAAGUGGAGACAAUUGCUGUCUCUUUUGCACGCACUCACUAACAAAAACUAGUAGGACUUGUUUUUUGCGUUGUUUUUACGCAAAGGCAAAAAAACCGGUAAGAUUUCAGAAGCGACGGCAGCAGUAGCAGUAGCAGCAGAAAAACAGAAAUGUUAUUGUGUGCGUAUAUGGGCCUAAAUGCAGUGUGCUUGUGUUGGUGUAUCUUCUAUGUGGUAGAAUACCACGUUAAUCAUAGUUUUCACACACCGCUUUUCUUACAGUUUUGUAAACAUAUACACAAACACAUGCAUAUGCAUAUACACACAAACGCAUACUAGCAGAUACCGAGCAACGAACUCGGGCAGCAGCGACGCCCAAGAAUGAAACAACAUAAGGCAACAUGAAAACUACAGCAACAACAAACAACACGGCAGCAUAAAAACAUAGAGAAAGCGAAUGAGAGGGGCAGAGACUGAGAGAGAGAGAAAGCAGGAGAGAAGCAGUUUUACGGCAACGACCCGAGCAGACGCUGCCGCAACAGCAGAAGCAGUAUUAUUAGCGGGUGUUGUUGACGUUCUCUUGAACGCUGCCAAUUGUCAUCUAUAACGCCCGACGGCUUCAUUCAGAUUUAUGUAGCACAGCAACCACCCCGCUCCCCGUCUAUUCAUCAUCAUCGUCGCCACCAUCAUUAUCAUCAUUGCCAGUCGUAUAAAGUUGGUUUCGCUUCUGUUUUAUUUUUAGUUUGUUUUUAUUUAUUUUAUUUGUUCUGCGGCGUCCAAGCAAAAGCCGGCGGUGAGAACUAACAGAAAUGACCGAAGUAACAGUAAUAUUUAAGCUGCAGCAGUA